CCUACGGGAGGCAGCAGUGAGGAAUAUUGGUCAAUGGACGAGAGUCUGAACCAGCCAAGUAGCGUGAAGGAUGACUGCCCUAUGGGUUGUAAACUUCUUUUAUAUGGGAAUAAAAUGUUCCACGUGUGGGAUUUUGUAUGUACCAUAUGAAUAAGGAUCGGCUAACUCCGUGCCAGCAGCCGCGGUAAUACGGAGGAUCCGAGCGUUAUCCGGAUUUAUUGGGUUUAAAGGGAGCGUAGGUGGAUUGUUAAGUCAGUUGUGAAAGUUUGCGGCUCAACCGUAAAAUUGCAGUUGAAACUGGCAGUCUUGAGUACAGUAGAGGUGGGCGGAAUUCGUGGUGUAGCGGUGAAAUGCUUAGAUAUCACGAAGAACUCCGAUUGCGAAGGCAGUUCACUGGACUGCAACUGUCACUGAGGCUCGAAAGUGUGGGUAUCAAACAGGAUUAGAUACCCCAGUAGUC
This 460-nucleotide ribosomal RNA is filed under the name uncultured bacterium. RNAcentral's name for it is "partial 16S ribosomal RNA". It matches the Rfam family "Bacterial small subunit ribosomal RNA", at positions 338 to 795 of the family's 1533-position model. The record is from RNAcentral.